UGGGGAAUAUUGCACAAUGGGCGCAAGCCUGAUGCAGCCAUGCCGCGUGUAUGAAGAAGGCCUUCGGGUUGUAAAGUACUUUCAGCGAGGAGGAAGGCGUUGUGGUUAAUAACCGCAACGAUUGACGUUACUCGCAGAAGAAGCACCGGCUAACUCCGUGCCAGCAGCCGCGGUAAUACGGAGGGUGCAAGCGUUAAUCGGAAUUACUGGGCGUAAAGCGCACGCAGGCGGUUUGUUAAGUCAGAUGUGAAAUCCCCCGGGGCUCAACCUGGGAACUGCAUUUGAAACUGGCAAGCUAGAGUCUCGUAGAGGGGGGGUAGAAUUCCAGUGUAGCGGUGAAAUGCGUUAGAGAUCUGGAGGAAUACCGGUGGCGAAGGCGGCCCCCUGGACGAAGACUGACGCUCAGGUGCGAAAGCGUGGGAGCAAACA
This 429-nucleotide ribosomal RNA is filed under the name uncultured Cronobacter sp. Its description in RNAcentral is "bacterial SSU rRNA". It matches the Rfam family "Bacterial small subunit ribosomal RNA", at positions 355 to 774 of the family's 1533-position model. Lineage: Bacteria; Pseudomonadati; Pseudomonadota; Gammaproteobacteria; Enterobacterales; Enterobacteriaceae. The record is from RNAcentral.